CACCUCAAGAUGAGUGCUCUCCUA
Molecule: ribosomal RNA, 24 nt
Filed under: Lunularia cruciata
Lineage: Eukaryota; Viridiplantae; Streptophyta; Marchantiopsida; Lunulariales; Lunulariaceae
Also listed under: 1 other name
Description: partial 23S ribosomal RNA
Source: RNAcentral